RNAcentral lists this unclassified non-coding RNA (22 nucleotides) under Mus musculus (house mouse). RNAcentral's name for it is "oocyte_clustered_small_RNA9062". The record is from RNAcentral. Lineage: Eukaryota; Metazoa; Chordata; Mammalia; Rodentia; Muridae.
UGUGACCUUGCUGGGACCUAAG